GGGGAACAUCCAAGAGCUGAGAUGCUACCUGAUACAAUCUUCCUACAGAAAAAUACCUCUGUUUUUCCUGCUUGCAGUUCUUAAGCAAGUCCUGCAAGUCUCAAUUUAUCAGAGACAUAA
Malania oleifera is the source of this 120-nucleotide small nucleolar RNA. RefSeq annotates it as small nucleolar RNA snoR104. The transcript has a single exon. The record is from RefSeq and is a predicted model, not a curated record. NCBI's taxonomy places the organism in Eukaryota, Viridiplantae, Streptophyta, Magnoliopsida, Santalales, Ximeniaceae.